This 515-nucleotide ribosomal RNA is filed under the name uncultured bacterium. RNAcentral describes it as "partial 16S ribosomal RNA". It matches the Rfam family "Bacterial small subunit ribosomal RNA", at positions 28 to 523 of the family's 1533-position model. The record is from RNAcentral.
GAUGAACGCUGGCGGCGUGCCUAAUACAUGCAAGUCGAGCGAAUGGAUUAAGAGCUUGCUCUUAUGAAGUUAGCGGCGGACGGGUGAGUAACGCGUGGGUAACCUGCCCAUAAGACUGGGAUAACUCCGGGAAACCGGGGCUAAUACCGGAUAACAUUUUGAACCGCAUGGUUCGAAAUUGAAAGGCGGCUUCGGCUGUCACUUAUGGAUGGACCCGCGUCGCAUUAGCUAGUUGGUGAGGUAACGGCUCACCAAGGCAGCGAUGCGUAGCCGACCUGAGAGGGUGAUCGGCCACACUGGGACUGAGACACGGCCCAGACUCCUACGGGAGGCAGCAGUAGGGAAUCUUCCGCAAUGGACGAAAGUCUGACGGAGCAACGCCGCGUGAGUGAUGAAGGCUUUCGGGUCGUAAAACUCUGUUGUUAGGGAAGAACAAGUGCUAGUUGAAUAAGCUGACACCUUGACGGUACCUAACCAGAAAGCCACGGCUAACUACGUGCCAGCCGCCGCAGUAA